Molecule: ribosomal RNA, 253 nt
Filed under: uncultured bacterium
Lineage: Bacteria
Description: partial 16S ribosomal RNA
Rfam family: Bacterial small subunit ribosomal RNA
Source: RNAcentral
UACGUAGGUGGCAAGCGUUGUCCGGAUUUAUUGGGUUUAAAGGGUGCGUAGGCGGCCCUGUAAGUCAGUAGUGAAAUAUCUCAGCUUAACUGAGAAGGUGCUAUUGAUACUGCAGGGCUAGAGUAUUGAUGAGGUAGGCGGAAUGGACGGUGUAGCGGUGAAAUGCAUAGAUAUCGUCCAGAACACCGAUAGCGAAGGCAGCUUACUAAACAAUAACUGACGCUGAGGCACGAAAGUGUGGGGAUCAAACAGG